UUAAGCGACUAAGCGUACACGGUGGAUGCCCUGGCAGUCAGAGGCGAUGAAGGACGUGCUAAUCUGCGAUAAGCGUCGGUAAGGUGAUAUGAACCGUUAUAACCGGCGAUUUCCGAAUGGGGAAACCCAGUGUGAUUCGUCACACUAUCAUUAACUGAAUCCAUAGGUUAAUGAGGCGAACCGGGGGAACUGAAACAUCUAAGUACCCCGAGGAAAAGAAAUCAACCGAGAUUCCCCCAGUAGCGGCGAGCGAACGGGGAGCAGCCCAGAGCCUGAAUCAGUGUGUGUGUUAGUGGAAGCGUCUGGAAAGGCGCGCGAUACAGGGUGACAGCCCCGUACACAAAAAUGCACAUACUGUGAGCUCGAUGAGUAGGGCGGGACACGUGGUAUCCUGUCUGAAUAUGGGGGGACCAUCCUCCAAGGCUAAAUACUCCUGACUGACCGAUAGUGAACCAGUACCGUGAGGGAAAGGCGAAAAGAACCCCGGCGAGGGGAGUGAAAAAGAACCUGAAACCGUGUACGUACAAGCAGUGGGAGCACGCUUAGGCGUGUGACUGCGUACCUUUUGUAUAAUGGGUCAGCGACUUAUAUUCUGUAGCAAGGUUAACCGAAUAGGGGAGCCGAAGGGAAACCGAGUCUUAACUGGGCGUUAAGUUGCAGGGUAUAGACCCGAAACCCGGUGAUCUAGCCAUGGGCAGGUUGAAGGUUGGGUAACACUAACUGGAGGACCGAACCGACUAAUGUUGAAAAAUUAGCGGAUGACUUGUGGCUGGGGGUGAAAGGCCAAUCAAACCGGGAGAUAGCUGGUUCUCCCCGAAAGCUAUUUAGGUAGCGCCUCGUGAAUUCAUCUCCGGGGGUAGAGCACUGUUUCGGCAAGGGGGUCAUCCCGACUUACCAACCCGAUGCAAACUGCGAAUACCGGAGAAUGUUAUCACGGGAGACACACGGCGGGUGCUAACGUCCGUCGUGAAGAGGGAAACAACCCAGACCGCCAGCUAAGGUCCCAAAGUCAUGGUUAAGUGGGAAACGAUGUGGGAAGGCCCAGACAGCCAGGAUGUUGGCUUAGAAGCAGCCAUCAUUUAAAGAAAGCGUAAUAGCUCACUGGUCGAGUCGGCCUGCGCGGAAGAUGUAACGGGGCUAAACCAUGCACCGAAGCUGCGGCAGCGACGCUUAUGCGUUGUUGGGUAGGGGAGCGUUCUGUAAGCCUGUGAAGGUGUGCUGUGAGGCAUGCUGGAGGUAUCAGAAGUGCGAAUGCUGACAUAAGUAACGAUAAAGCGGGUGAAAAGCCCGCUCGCCGGAAGACCAAGGGUUCCUGUCCAACGUUAAUCGGGGCAGGGUGAGUCGACCCCUAAGGCGAGGCCGAAAGGCGUAGUCGAUGGGAAACAGGUUAAUAUUCCUGUACUUGGUGUUACUGCGAAGGGGGGACGGAGAAGGCUAUGUUGGCCGGGCGACGGUUGUCCCGGUUUAAGCGUGUAGGCUGGUUUUCCAGGCAAAUCCGGAAAAUCAAGGCUGAGGCGUGAUGACGAGGCACUACGGUGCUGAAGCAACAAAUGCCCUGCUUCCAGGAAAAGCCUCUAAGCAUCAGGUAACAUCAAAUCGUACCCCAAACCGACACAGGUGGUCAGGUAGAGAAUACCAAGGCGCUUGAGAGAACUCGGGUGAAGGAACUAGGCAAAAUGGUGCCGUAACUUCGGGAGAAGGCACGCUGAUAUGUAGGUGAAGUCCCUCGCGGAUGGAGCUGAAAUCAGUCGAAGAUACCAGCUGGCUGCAACUGUUUAUUAAAAACACAGCACUGUGCAAACACGAAAGUGGACGUAUACGGUGUGACGCCUGCCCGGUGCCGGAAGGUUAAUUGAUGGGGUCAGCGCAAGCGAAGCUCUUGAUCGAAGCCCCGGUAAACGGCGGCCGUAACUAUAACGGUCCUAAGGUAGCGAAAUUCCUUGUCGGGUAAGUUCCGACCUGCACGAAUGGCGUAAUGAUGGCCAGGCUGUCUCCACCCGAGACUCAGUGAAAUUGAACUCGCUGUGAAGAUGCAGUGUACCCGCGGCAAGACGGAAAGACCCCGUGAACCUUUACUAUAGCUUGACACUGAACAUUGAGCCUUGAUGUGUAGGAUAGGUGGGAGGCUUUGAAGUGUGGACGCCAGUCUGCAUGGAGCCGACCUUGAAAUACCACCCUUUAAUGUUUGAUGUUCUAACGUGGACCCGUAAUCCGGGUUGCGGACAGUGUCUGGUGGGUAGUUUGACUGGGGCGGUCUCCUCCUAAAGAGUAACGGAGGAGCACGAAGGUUGGCUAAUCCUGGUCGGACAUCAGGAGGUUAGUGCAAUGGCAUAAGCCAGCUUGACUGCGAGCGUGACGGCGCGAGCAGGUGCGAAAGCAGGUCAUAGUGAUCCGGUGGUUCUGAAUGGAAGGGCCAUCGCUCAACGGAUAAAAGGUACUCCGGGGAUAACAGGCUGAUACCGCCCAAGAGUUCAUAUCGACGGCGGUGUUUGGCACCUCGAUGUCGGCUCAUCACAUCCUGGGGCUGAAGUAGGUCCCAAGGGUAUGGCUGUUCGCCAUUUAAAGUGGUACGCGAGCUGGGUUUAGAACGUCGUGAGACAGUUCGGUCCCUAUCUGCCGUGGGCGCUGGAGAACUGAGGGGGGCUGCUCCUAGUACGAGAGGACCGGAGUGGACGCAUCACUGGUGUUCGGGUUGUCAUGCCAAUGGCACUGCCCGGUAGCUAAAUGCGGAAGAGAUAAGUGCUGAAAGCAUCUAAGCACGAAACUUGCCCCGAGAUGAGUUCUCCCUGACUCCUUGAGAGUCCUGAAGGAACGUUGAAGACGACGACGUUGAUAGGCCGGGUGUGUAAGCGCAGCGAUGCGUUGAGCUAACCGGUACUAAUGAACCGUGAGGCUUAACCUU
This 2902-nucleotide ribosomal RNA is filed under the name Escherichia coli. RNAcentral's name for it is "bacterial LSU rRNA". It matches the Rfam family "Bacterial large subunit ribosomal RNA". The record is from RNAcentral. Lineage: Bacteria; Pseudomonadati; Pseudomonadota; Gammaproteobacteria; Enterobacterales; Enterobacteriaceae.